RNAcentral lists this ribosomal RNA (440 nucleotides) under uncultured bacterium. Its description in RNAcentral is "partial 16S ribosomal RNA". It matches the Rfam family "Bacterial small subunit ribosomal RNA", at positions 338 to 795 of the family's 1533-position model. The record is from RNAcentral.
CCUACGGGAGGCAGCAGUGGGGAAUAUUGCUCAAUGGGCGAAACCCUGAAGCAGCAACGCCGCGUGCAGGAUGAAGGUUUUCUGAUUGUAAACUCCUUUUGGUAGAGAGGUUAAUGACGGUAGCUAACGAUUAAGCACCGUCUAACUCCGUGCCAGAAGCCGCGGUACUACGGAGGGUGCAAGCGUUACUCGGAAUCACUGGGCGUAAAGCGGGCGUAGGCGGGAUAGCAAGUCAGAUGUGAAAUCCUAUGGCUUAACCAUAGAACUGCAUUUGAAACUGUUAUUCUAGAGUAUGGGAGAGGUAGGUGGAAUGCUUGGGGUAGGGGUAAAAUGCGUAGAGAUCAAGAGGAAUACUCAUUGCGAAGGCGACCUGCUAGAACAUAACUGACGCUGAUGCGCGAAAGCGUGGGGAGCAAACAGGAUUAGAUACCCCAGUAGUC